CAACAGGGAUUGCCCCAGUAACGGCGAGUGAAGCGGCAACAGCUCAAAUUUGAAAUCUGGCUCUCGGGCCCGAGUUGUAAUUUGUAGAGGAUGCUUUUGGUGAGGUGCCUUCCGAGUUCCCUGGAACGGGACGCCAUAGAGGGUGAGAGCCCCGUCUGGUUGGACACCGAUCCUCUGUAAAGCUCCUUCGACGAGUCGAGUAGUUUGGGAAUGCUGCUCUAAAUGGGAGGUAUAUGUCUUCUAAAGCUAAAUACCGGCCAGAGACCGAUAGCGCACAAGUAGAGUGAUCGAAAGAUGAAAAGAACUUUGAAAAGAGAGUUAAACAGUACGUGAAAUUGUUGAAAGGGAAGCGCUUGUGACCAGACUUGGGCUUGGUUGAUCAUCCGGGGUUCUCCCCGGUGCACUCUUCCGGCUCAGGCCAGCAUCAGUUCGCCCUGGGGGACAAAGGCAUCGGGAACGUGGCUCUCUCCGGGGAGUGUUA
This 481-nucleotide unclassified non-coding RNA is filed under the name Fusarium solani. Its description in RNAcentral is "sequence contains ITS2, 28S rRNA gene". It matches the Rfam family "Eukaryotic large subunit ribosomal RNA", at positions 66 to 558 of the family's 3401-position model. Lineage: Eukaryota; Fungi; Ascomycota; Sordariomycetes; Hypocreales; Nectriaceae. The record is from RNAcentral.